Molecule: long non-coding RNA, 946 nt
Organism: Lepisosteus oculatus (spotted gar)
Lineage: Eukaryota; Metazoa; Chordata; Actinopteri; Semionotiformes; Lepisosteidae
Source: RefSeq, a predicted model, not a curated record
GAGAAACAGGACAACGUUACGGCUCUGAACCGCCCGGCUGCGCCGCCUUACCCCCGGGGGGGCAUUAAACACCCAGCUCAGGCCGAGGAUUAAAGUGCGAAGUUUGACCCCAAAUUUGAACACUAUUCGCAGGCAUUGAUGGGGCAGCUUCUCUUCUCAGGUCCUCAAAGAGAAGAGAGGUGCAUUGAAAAUGUGAUGGGAAUGAUGGGGAAUUUUGAGGACAAAAGGCCCAGGCUGUCACUCCCCCGGGCACGCUGUGGUUGUGCUCUGUGUGGAAGCUGGGUGCUGAUCUGCAGAUCCCACAGCGAGGGAGAAGACGAUGGAGACGUGAUGUGAUGUUCGGCUGAAAUGUUGGACCAAGGCCCUGACUACGCCAUCAUUAAUGAUCCUGUAGCACUGCUCAUUAGAUGGGAGUGUUAACCCAGGUGUCCUGGCUAAAUUCCACUCUGGCUUUGCACAAUCUGGCCUCCCUUAAUUCAACUGAUGUUCUAUCUUAUUACUCCUCCCCCUGAGCCUCUGUGCAGUGGGGCUGCUGGUGCAGAAUGGUCGCUGUGUGUCUCCUGGUGGGGCUGCUGGUGCAGAAUGGCUGCAGAGAGGCCCUACUGUCUCGUCUAGUUCCCUAACUCAGGAAUCAAAGGGUUCCAGGAAACUAAGGAACACUUCAGACUUAAUUCCUAGAAUUGAAAAAUUAGAAUAAAGUCCUGUAAUUAAAGAUAAUUCCACAUCUCUGUUCCCUUAGCUAUUUUAAACUGCAAGAUUUUUUUAUUACUUGGAUGACUUCCUAACAAAACAGAGAAAUUUGUCAUUCCAUGAAUACAGCCAGCUGUAGCCUUUGGCAAUUGCAUAUUGUGAUUAUGCUGUUUAUUAGCUCUGAUAAAAUGCAUGAAAUAGUUUUAAAUGUCACUGGAAACCUCCCCCUUUUUAAGUACAUAUUUAAGUCAGUUUU